Molecule: non-coding RNA, 69 nt
Organism: Octopus bimaculoides (California two-spot octopus)
Lineage: Eukaryota; Metazoa; Mollusca; Cephalopoda; Octopoda; Octopodidae
Source: Rfam
CUAAUUGUGAUGAAUAAGAUAUCACCCCAGUCUGAAUUGUGUGACUGAAUCGAUUUAACUUGAAUUUAG